Chiroxiphia lanceolata (lance-tailed manakin) is the source of this 714-nucleotide long non-coding RNA. RefSeq lists it as uncharacterized. The transcript has 3 exons. The record is from RefSeq and is a predicted model, not a curated record. Lineage: Eukaryota; Metazoa; Chordata; Aves; Passeriformes; Pipridae.
AUGUGGGUGUCAUUGUGGGAGACUACUAUAGACCUCCCAGCCAGGACGAUGAUGCCAAUAAAUAAUUCUUUGAGGAACUGAGGGACACUUCCAAGUCAAGUGCCCUUGUCCUUGUAGGGAACUUCAACUUGCCAGAAAUUAACUGGGUGUGUCACACAGCUGGUACAACCCAGGCCAGAAGAUUCCUAAAAAACCUGGAUGACAACUUUAUGGAACAGAUCCUAAGGGAGCCGACUCAGAAAGAUGCCCUCCUUGAUCUGCUGCCUGUCAACAGGGUGGAUCUUGUGAGCAAAGUGGAGAUUGGUGGUCGUCUUGGCCACAGCAACCACAAAGCAAUCGAGUUUAAAACUCUGUUGACAGGAGGAAAAGUGCCAGCAAAACCUCAACUCCAGACAUGAGGAGAGCAGACUUCAGGCUGCUCAGGGAAUUAGUAAGGUCCCCUGUGAAAAUCUUUUUGCAGGUACUGGGAUCCGUCAGUGCUGGUCACCUUUCAAGCAUCACCUCCUAAGGACACAGGAGCAGCAAUACCCAAAUGUCAGAAGUCAAGCAGAGUCUGACACUGGGGAUAUCUGGCAAUCAGCUUACACAUUCAUUGGUUUGCAUAAGGGGAGGAGACAGGACUGCACAGUGGCAACAACUAUGCAAACAACUCAUUUCACUCUAGCUCCCCCAGAAUCCCACAUCCUCUGCAGCUGCAGAAGAAUUCAAACAGGC